Molecule: transfer RNA, 67 nt
Filed under: Marmota monax (woodchuck)
Lineage: Eukaryota; Metazoa; Chordata; Mammalia; Rodentia; Sciuridae
Description: tRNA.Ala
Rfam family: tRNA
About the family: Transfer RNA (tRNA) molecules are approximately 80 nucleotides in length. Their secondary structure includes four short double-helical elements and three loops (D, anti-codon, and T loops). Further hydrogen bonds mediate the characteristic L-shaped molecular structure. tRNAs have two regions of fundamental functional importance: the anti-codon, which is responsible for specific mRNA codon recognition, and the 3' end, to which the tRNAs corresponding amino acid is attached (by aminoacyl-tRNA synthetases). tRNAs cope with the degeneracy of the genetic code in two manners: having more than one tRNA (with a specific anti-codon) for a particular amino acid; and 'wobble' base-pairing, i.e. permitting non-standard base-pairing at the 3rd anti-codon position.
Source: RNAcentral
GGUUGUGGCUUAGUGGUAGAGCAUUUGCCUUGCAUGUGUGAGGCACUGGGUUCAAUUCUCAGCACCG